CGAAACGGGGUGUGGUGGGUUGCGCAAGUCCCUUGGAAGAGGGCGCCGGAGAGGGUGACAGCCCCGUGGCGCACACAGCACGUCCCGACACGGCCGUUCGAAGAGUCGGGCUGUUUGAGAUCGCAGCCCCUAGCGGGAGGUAAAUUUCUUCCAAAGCUAAGUACGGGCGAGAGACCGAUAGCGGAAAAGUAGAGCGAUCGAAAGAUGAAAAGAACUUUGAAAAGAGAGUGAAAAGGACCUGAAAUUGUUGAAAGGGAAGAGAUUCGCGCGAGUGGGUGCGUCCCGUGUGUCUACACAGGGGAUGCGGUCUGCGUGGCUUGGGCGGUGCUGGAAGGCGCGGCGGCGAAGGUAGGCAUCUCCUCGGAGUGCCGUUAUAUCGCGGCUGCUCGCAGCGCGCCCGGGCAAGGACAACGACGCAGGCGAAAUCGCGCGAAUCACCCCGUCUUGAAAC
RNAcentral lists this ribosomal RNA (451 nucleotides) under uncultured yeast. RNAcentral's name for it is "partial large subunit ribosomal RNA". It matches the Rfam family "Eukaryotic large subunit ribosomal RNA", at positions 157 to 660 of the family's 3401-position model. The record is from RNAcentral. Lineage: Eukaryota; Fungi.